This is a long non-coding RNA of Phascolarctos cinereus (koala), 3069 nucleotides long. The record is from Ensembl. NCBI's taxonomy places the organism in Eukaryota, Metazoa, Chordata, Mammalia, Diprotodontia, Phascolarctidae.
UUUCACCAUCCCAAUGGGAGAGGACAGUUUACAUGGAACUUGUUGCCUGGGGUUACUGUGGCUCCCUGAAUGCCUGAGCAUAGUGAGAGCUGGGAAGGCUCAGAAGUUUCCAUUCUGAGAGACCUGAACCCUCUAGCCCCAAGGAGCUAAAUCUAGGAGAAGGUUUGAAGGUGCCUGAAUUGGCUCUAGACCAGAUAUCCGUGGGCACCUGGCUGCCCCACAGGCCUCACGCUCUCCUCUUCUGGCUCCCCCUGCAGCAUGUCCUUCCAAGGCUGGGCCACCUAUCCCAGCUUGCCCUCCCAGGACCGCAGGAAUGGCAGUUUUCUACAAGGCCUGGCCAAGAGCCCUUCAUUCCUGGGGAGGCUUCAGGGUUAUCGUAGGGCAAGGUCAAUGGAGACACCCUGGGGCCACUCCAAGGUCUACCCAUCUUCCAGAGACUCUCUUAAGGGCCCUCUGAGGGCCACUUCUGAAUUGCUGGAGUCUGGGAACUCUUCCUGCCUGUGGCACUCCCACAGUCCUAGGCUCCUAGACAGAUCACAGUCCCCAAGCCUCCUGAGAGGCAUCCACCCCACUGAAGCGAGCCCAUCAUCCUGCAGCCUCUUUGGCAAAGGCUCAAACCCACUCAUCAGACGUCGGGCUUCUCUACCCCACCUUCUGGACUGGAUGGACAGUGUGGUCGGCCGCGGGGCCCUGGCCCUCCAGGACUGGAGCAGAUCAGAACAAGACCUUCGGUCAUCAUUGUUAGAGAGUGUUCAGCAGGGGGCAGAGCUGGUGGGCCGCCUGCCGACAGCCCGUGGGACCCUGAAGAAGCAGGCCCAGGAGAUCCAAAGGAGGGAGAAGGCUGUGGAGCUCAGCCAAAUGAAGUGUGAGCUGCUUGACAUAAGGCAGAAGAUGGAAAGCUCUCUCGUUCGCCUGGAGUGGGAAAGAAGAGAGCUAAAGAGGUCCAGAAGACAGGAGCAGCAGCAGGGCAGAGAGCUCCAGGACAAAAUCCUGCAUCUGCAGGUAGAAGUGAUGAAAGUCAAGUUGUGUUUGGACAGAAUGAGCCAGCAGUCACUGUUUGUGGAGGACCCAGAGAAGGAGCCCAGAGUCAGACCUGAGAGUCAGGGGGCUGACCUCAAUACCAAGCUCCAGAUGUUGGUGACCAACCAGGACUCCAUCUUUCAGGAGAAGCUAGGACAGGAGCUGAGCUUUGAUGCCAAUCAGACUCUAGAGGGCCAGGGGGAAGUAACAGUGGAGGGCCCGAAGGCCUCUACCCCCCAGGAGUCCCAGGACAUGAUCUUUCUUCAAGAAGAGCUGGUGAUCAUUAAAGAGGUGAAUGAGCUGCUCUCCUCAGAGCUGGACCAGAGCCGCCGGAGACUGAGGACCUGUCUAAACCAGCUCUACCAGCUGCAGGCAGAGAAGAAGAUUUCCCACAGCUGGCUCCAGGCCCUGGAGAUGGAGCAAGCCCAGCUGAUGGGAGAGAACUUGGCACUGUUGUCUGUGCUCCAGGGGCAAGGGGGAGGCGCAGAGCUCGGGACAGCUUCGUGGCAGAAUAGUGAGGCCAGUGGAUAUCCUCAGUUCCAGAAGGAGUUGGUCACUCCCCAACAGGAGCCAGAGGAGGAAACAUCAUGCCCCAGGACCCAUAAGGAGGAAGUUCAGUAUUGGAAAGCACGCUGGCAGCAGGUGGCAAAUGAGUUGAAAUCCAAGGAGGAGGAACUGGAGACGGUCCAGAGACAGACAUGCAAGAUCCCCUGGGUCCAAGAGCUUCUCCUAGGGAAAGAGGAGGGUCUGGCUGGGUUGAAAGACCCUGUGGGCAGGGAAAACGAGACCACUGACCUGGAAGGGAGCCGGCUGGCAAAGAAGUAUCAACAUCUUUGUUCUGGAGAAGACUCAAGUUCACUAACAGAGAAGAUGGAAUAUCAGAGAGAUCUCCAAAGCAAGAUGAAAAUACUGGAGCAGGAAAAUGCUCAGAUGGCACUGGUGAUCCAGAGGUGGAAGCAGUUCCAAUCCAAAGCAGAGUCUCAUAGACCCCUCCAGGAGCUUCAAGGAUCUUCAUCAGGAAGCCCUCAGGUGCCAGAGCUGCUUCAGCCAUUUCAGAGAGACGCCCGAGGGGGCCAGGAAGCAGGAGCUCCUGGGCUGUUGUCAGAGGCAGAAAUCCUAAGACAGCAGCUGCAGAAGGAGAGAACCUUGGGGCAGGAGCUGGAGCAGCGACUUCAGAGCCUCAUCUCAGACCUGCAGGAGCUGAAACUGAGGAAACCAGAAGAACACAAGGCUUCCCAGGACUCCGGACAGCAGGGAGUAGAGACCGCCGAGAGUCAGCUCAGGGAGAGCAGACAGGAGAACCUAAGGUUGGAGCUCCUGGUGUCAUCUCUACAGCAGAAGCUGGAGGACAAGGAGCAGGCACUGAGGGAGCUCCUGACCCCAAGGACCUCUGAGCAGAGGGAGACAGAGAUGACACCCUCCUCCCUGCUUAAGAAACUACCCCUUAACUCCCAGCCAGGCUUCAGCCAGUUGGUCCCAGAAGAGCUGAAGAGGGGCCCCCGAGCUGGCUGGGAGGGGGUUCCCCAGGGCCACUGCACUCACUGUAACACCUUCCUGGAACAGCUGGACAAAGUGCUUCGAAGUUGGGAAGCAUCUUCAAAGCCAGCAGAGGAGAAGCCACAGGCACUGGGGAAACCCCAGAAAGUCUUGGGGAGUCCCAAUAAGCAUGCCCCAAAGGGGGGCCGAGCUCCCGGGAGUGACCUCAGGGACAUUGAGCGGGUUAAGCAGCAGCAUCGGCUGGUGACUGAGCAGUUGCAGGAUCUGUUUGGGGAGAGACGGGAGAGGACCGGCAAGGCUGGGCAGCCCCCCAGGGAGUGGCCAGAGGGAAGCUCUGGGGAUCAGGGGACCAAGAAGCCCCCAGUGGAGCAGGUGAGAACCAGUCCCCCUCUCCAGUCUGCCCAGCCACAUCCCAAACCCAGUCCUCUAUCCUCCUGCUGGUUCCCGGCUCCUCCUCAAAUCCUACUAGAAGAAUGGUCCAAGGCAGACGCUUGGGAGGGGUGGGAGCUCGCUCCUGGUCAUGAAGAAAAAUCACAAUUUAGUCCAGUUUGA